GGGAGCUUGCAGCAUAGCAGCAGGAGAGAAUGAGUAAUUAAGAAAUAUCUACAGGUCGGUGAAUGCCAGAAAAGAGAAAAGCACACGGCUCAUAGUAGGCGGCCACGAGAUCAAGGCGGCUGUGCGUCUUCCAGCCCUCCCAGUCCUGCCUGCGUCCGGUGGCGGCUGUCCACGUCCGCUGCAAACCAUGAGCCCCCUGAGACCAACGCCAGCUUCUGUACCCCCCGCACCCCAGGUGGGGGCCUGCUGCUCUGGUGCAGAAGUCACCCGUUGCCGGAAAUGUGCUCUCCUUCCCAGGGAAGCGCUGGAGCCGCCCGGAGAGGGAGGAUCCGAAUGGCCGCGGCAGGGCCUCUGAUGUGCUCGUGGUUCUUCCUGCAGUCUGCCGUCUGUAGGAGAGAAAUGGAUUUUUAAAAUAAACAGGCUUUGUGUAAAAUGUGUACAGA
Molecule: long non-coding RNA, 443 nt
Filed under: Mustela putorius furo (domestic ferret)
Lineage: Eukaryota; Metazoa; Chordata; Mammalia; Carnivora; Mustelidae
Description: lncRNA (ENSMPUG00000027357.1)
Source: RNAcentral